This is a long non-coding RNA of Musa acuminata AAA Group (dessert banana), 1383 nucleotides long. RefSeq lists it as uncharacterized. The transcript has 2 exons. NCBI's taxonomy places the organism in Eukaryota, Viridiplantae, Streptophyta, Magnoliopsida, Zingiberales, Musaceae. The record is from RefSeq and is a predicted model, not a curated record.
AUGAAUGAAGAGCAUAGAUGUGAGAUGUGAAGAGCAACAAAGAGUGCUUGUUGGGCCCCAUGCCCAAGCUCAAGAGAAGACCGGCAAAUCUAAUUUGGCACCAUUAAAAGGCCCAUUAUAGGGUGUCGCCCAUUUAAGUCGGCUCUUAAUAAGCGCCCGCUUCUUCCUCACCAUCUGCCAUCUUCCUCCUCUAUGGGGUGUCGCCGUCUACCAUCUUAGAUGUCCACAAGUCGACGGCAAACACCACCCAUCAUUGUCGUUACUCUAUCGGCGUACCCGUCCCUCUGCCCGCGCCCGCGUGUUUCUCUCGCGCCCACCCAUCUGCAAGCGGAUCCACUGUGGUCGCCCCUGUUUCAGAUUAUUGCCUCUUCUCUGUCGAUUGCCGCUCUCUUAGCUGAUUCCAAUGCGUAGAGAGUGAAUCAGGUCUUUCUCGGAAAUUCGCUGGAUAGAUAGAGAUAGAUUGACAAAGACAGUGUUAUAGAGAGAGAGAGAGAGAGAGAGAGAGAGAGAGAGAGGCAAUAGAACAAACAUCAACGUCUGCAUUUGUUAGAUCAGAACAAAAAUCUCAUUGAGUGUCGCAACGAUGUUAUCAUAGCACUCUUGAACUCGGCGAGCAUCUUUGUCUCUGGCAGCAUAAUCCAGCUGCAGCACAAACGAUAAAGAUUUCAAUCUUCAUUUGCGAAGCUGGAGCAUAACGAGAGCGUGAAGACAAUGGACUCACACUCGAGACAUCGUUGAAGAGGUGAGAGUAGAGCUUCCUCAGUUGUGGCCGCUGGCUUCCAGGCUUUGCUUGGAUGAUCGUGUAGAGAUCCUGCUUCAGAUACGACGAGCUCUCGCGAAGCGCGAUCUGGGCUUCUCUCCAUGACUGCGAAUCGAUCAAAGCCUUUAUCCUUACCAGAUCUCUUGCAUGGAUCUUCACCACCGCGUCUGCUUCUUCGGGUGUCUGUUCCGGAGCGGUGAAUCUGAACUCCAAGGCGGAAGCGACGCUCGAACCGGAGAUGGCUUCCUUGGCAUGGAGAGCUACUACUACAGCUGCUGCUGCUGUUGUUGCUUGUCUCCUUCCGAAGAGUAGCUGUUCCGGGAGACCUGGAGCUGCAUGGCCAAGCUUGGAGUGGCCAUGGAGGCGGCAAACGACGCCGAGCGAAGGGUUUGUGGAGCAGUGUCUCAGCGACAUCGGCGAUGCCAUUUCACUUUGUGCAAGUUUUGGAUGGCUGUGAAGAGCGGCACUGCUAAUGCGGAUAAGAUGGUUCUUCGAACGCUUGUGGACAACAAUGAGCUACCACCUUCUCAAGGAAAGAUUACCGUAGGAAAAGUCAAACCCAGAAAAUGUUUCCCUAUUUACAUUAAUCACAAGAAAAGUCAAACCCAGAAUGUAAAGAUCAA